This is a non-coding RNA of Python bivittatus (Burmese python), 507 nucleotides long. The record is from RefSeq and is a predicted model, not a curated record. NCBI's taxonomy places the organism in Eukaryota, Metazoa, Chordata, Lepidosauria, Squamata, Pythonidae.
CCCGGAGCCCUCUCACAGCCCGAGCGCCGGUUCAAAGUCCGAGGCUCCGCCGUCGGCUCAGGGAACCCAAGGGCUGGGGUCGCCCCGGCUUCAGCCUGCUUCGGGAAGCCAGUCCGCGCGGGUUCUCGCGGGAGCCCGCCAACCUUGGGUCCUCUGAGCAGAGCGCAGCUCAGAGAGCCACCCGCGAGCCGGCUGCGGACCCGGGGGCGCUCCGCUGCGCGUCAGCCUCAUGGGUUGCGCCACCGGGCGUGGAGAAGCACCGCCUAUAAAGCACCUCUGUCAAAGGGUCUUUUAAUAAUACCAAGCACCUUCUCACUCCUGCUGGCUCUACUCUUUCAGCAUUAUCAAAAGUUCUUUACAUACAAUCUGCAAGCAGUAAAAGAAGAAUUUCAGAUUUGGAGGCUGCUCUGUGGGCGAACGGUGUGUCUUGAUCUCAAAGACACUUUCUGCAGUAGUUUGCUUAUCUACAACUUCAGGAUAUUUGAAAGGCGAUAUGGCAGUAGAAAA